GUGCUGCGGCAGCUACCAUGCAGUCGAGCGGUAACAGAUCCAGCUUGCUGGAUGCUGACGAGCGGCGGACGGGUGAGUAAUGCAUAGGAAUCUGCCCGAUAGUGGGGGAUAACCUGGGGAAACCCAGGCUAAUACCGCAUACGUCCUACGGGAGAAAGGGGGCUUCGGCUCCCGCUAUCGGAUGAGCCUAUGUCGGAUUAGCUAGUUGGUGAGGUAACGGCUCACCAAGGCCACGAUCCGUAGCUGGUCUGAGAGGAUGAUCAGCCACAUCGGGACUGAGACACGGCCCGAACUCCUACGGGAGGCAGCAGUGGGGAAUAUUGGACAAUGGGGGGAACCCUGAUCCAGCCAUGCCGCGUGUGUGAAGAAGGCCCUCGGGUUGUAAAGCACUUUCAGCGAGGAAGAACGCCUAGCGGUUAAUACCCGCUAGGAAAGACAUCACUCGCAGAAGAAGCACCGGCUAACUCCGUGCCAGCAGCCGCGGUAAUACGGAGGGUGCAAGCGUUAAUCGGAAUUACUGGGCGUAAAGCGCGCGUAGGUGGCUUGAUAAGCCGGUUGUGAAAGCCCCGGGCUCAACCUGGGAACGGCAUCCGGAACUGUCAAGCUAGAGUGCAGGAGAGGAAGGUAGAAUUCCCGGUGUAGCGGUGAAAUGCGUAGAGAUCGGGAGGAAUACCAGUGGCGAAGGCGGCCUUCUGGACUGACACUGACACUGAGGUGCGAAAGCGUGGGUAGCAAACAGGAUUAGUCCCC
RNAcentral lists this ribosomal RNA (750 nucleotides) under Vreelandella aquamarina. RNAcentral describes it as "bacterial SSU rRNA". It matches the Rfam family "Bacterial small subunit ribosomal RNA", at positions 33 to 786 of the family's 1533-position model. The record is from RNAcentral. Lineage: Bacteria; Pseudomonadati; Pseudomonadota; Gammaproteobacteria; Oceanospirillales; Halomonadaceae.